CUAAGCUUCAGUUACACAGGAAUCGUACCCGAAACCGACACAGGUGGUCAGGUCGAGUAGACCAAGGCGCUUGAGAGAACUCUGCUGAAGGAACUAGGCAAAAUGGUACCGUAACUUCGGGAGAAGGUACGCUGUUGUUGGUGAUGGAACUUGCUUCCUGAGCUGACGACAGCCGCAGAAACCAGGCCGCUGCAACUGUUUAUUAAAAACAUAGCACUCUGCAAACACGAAAGUGGACGUAUAGGGUGUGAUGCCUGCCCGGUGCUGGAAGGUUAAUUGAUGGGGUUAGCGUAAGCGAAGCUCUUGAUCGAAGCCCCAGUAAACGGCGGCCGUAACUAUAACGGUCCUAAGGUAGCGAAAUUCCUUGUCGGGUAAGUUCCGACCUGCACGAAUGGCAUAAUGAUGGCGGCGCUGUCUCCAGCAGAGGCUCAGUGAAAUCGAAAUCGCUGUGAAGAUGCAGUGUACCCGCGGCUAGACGGAAAGACCCCGUGAACCUUUACUGCAGCUUGACACUGAACUUUGACCUUACUUGUGUAGGAUAGGUGGGAGGCUUUGAAGCUGGAACGCUAGUUCCAGUGGAGCCGUCCUUGAAAUACCACCCUGGUAAUGUUGAGGUUCUAACUCUGUCCCGUGAUCCGGGACGAGGACCGUGUCUGGUGGGUAGUUUGACUGGGGCGGUCUCCUCCUAAAGAGUAACGGAGGAGUACGAAGGUGCGCUCAGCGUGGUCGGAAAUCACGCGUAGAGUAUAAAGGCAAAAGCGCGCUUAACUGCGAGACCCACAAGUCGAGCAGGUACGAAAGUAGGUCUUAGUGAUCCGGUGGUUCUGUAUGGAAGGGCCAUCGCUCAACGGAUAAAAGGUACUCUGGGGAUAACAGGCUGAUACCGCCCAAGAGUUCAUAUCGACGGCGGUGUUUGGCACCUCGAUGUCGGCUCAUCUCAUCCUGGGGCUGAAGCAGGUCCCAAGGGUAUGGCUGUUCGCCAUUUAAAGAGGUACGCGAGCUGGGUUUAGAACGUCGUGAGACAGUUCGGUCCCUAUCUACCGUGGGCGCUGGAAAUUUGAGAGGAUCUGCUCCUAGUACGAGAGGACCAGAGUGGACGAACCUCUGGUGUACCGGUUGUGACGCCAGUCGCAUCGCCGGGUAGCUAUGUUCGGAAGGGAUAACCGCUGAAAGCAUCUAAGCGGGAAGCCUACCUCAAGAUAAGAUUUCCCUAGGACUUUAUGUCCUCUAAAGAGCCGUUCGAGACUAGGACGUUGAUAGGUUGGAUGUGGAAGCAUAGUGAUAUGUGAAGCUGACCAAUACUAAUUGCUCGUGAGGCUUGACUAU
This 1326-nucleotide ribosomal RNA is filed under the name Acinetobacter baumannii. RNAcentral describes it as "partial 23S ribosomal RNA". It matches the Rfam family "Bacterial large subunit ribosomal RNA", at positions 1621 to 2925 of the family's 2925-position model. The record is from RNAcentral. Lineage: Bacteria; Pseudomonadati; Pseudomonadota; Gammaproteobacteria; Moraxellales; Moraxellaceae.